AGAGCUCGUAGGCGGUUUGUCGCGUCUGCCGUGAAAGUCCGGGGCUUAACUCCGGAUCUGCGGUGGGUACGGGCAGACUAGAGUGCAGUAGGGGAGACUGGAAUUCCUGGUGUAGCGGUGAAAUGCGCAGAUAUCAGGAGGAACACCGAUGGCGAAGGCAGGUCUCUGGGCUGUAACUGACGCUGAGGAGCGAAAGCAUGGGGAGCGAACAGGAUUAGAUACCCUGGUAGUCCAUGCCGUAAACGUUGGGCACUAGGUGUGGGGGACAUUCCACGUUUUCCGCGCCGUAGCUAACGCAUUAAGUGCCCCGCCUGGGGAGUACGGCCGCAAGGCUAAAACUCAAAGGAAUUGACGGGGGCCCGCACAAGCGGCGGAGCAUGCGGAUUAAUUCGAUGCAACGCGAAGAACCUUACCAAGGCUUGACAUGAACCGGAAUGAUGCAGAGAUGUGUCAGCCACUUGUGGCCGGUUUACAGGUGGUGCAUGGUUGUCGUCAGCUCGUGCCGUGAGAUGUUGGGUUAAGUCCCGCAACGAGCGCAACCCUCGUUCCAUGUUGCCAGCGGGUUAUGCCGGGGACUCAUGGGAGACUGCCGGGGUCAACUCGGAGGAAGGUGGGGACGACGUCAAAUCAUCAUGCCCCUUAUGUCUUGGGCUUCACGCAUGCUACAAUGGCCGGUACAAAGGGUUGCGAUACUGUGAGGUGGAGCUAAUCCCAAAAAGCCGGUCUCAGUUCGGAUUGAGGUCUGCAACUCGACCUCAUGAAGUUGGAGUCGCUAGU
This 777-nucleotide ribosomal RNA is filed under the name uncultured bacterium. RNAcentral describes it as "bacterial SSU rRNA". It matches the Rfam family "Bacterial small subunit ribosomal RNA", at positions 564 to 1339 of the family's 1533-position model. The record is from RNAcentral.